UGGCUCAGUGGUUAAGAGCACUGACUGCUCUUCCAGAGGUUCUGGGUUCAAUUCCCAG
RNAcentral lists this transfer RNA (58 nucleotides) under Rattus norvegicus (Norway rat). It matches the Rfam family "tRNA", at positions 8 to 63 of the family's 71-position model. Rfam says of the family: Transfer RNA (tRNA) molecules are approximately 80 nucleotides in length. The record is from Rfam by way of RNAcentral. Lineage: Eukaryota; Metazoa; Chordata; Mammalia; Rodentia; Muridae.